This 594-nucleotide long non-coding RNA is filed under the name Parus major (Great Tit). RNAcentral describes it as "lncRNA (ENSPMJG00000019885.1)". Lineage: Eukaryota; Metazoa; Chordata; Aves; Passeriformes; Paridae. The record is from RNAcentral.
GGCGCCUUAACCCCUUCGGCGCCGCCCGCGGUCAGCGGGGCCGGCUCCGUGCGCUGCCUCAGGGCUCCCGGCCGGGACCAGCCCCCUCCUGAUCGGCGGGGCACGGGCGGCGGCAUCGACCACCGCCGGCCGGGGGAACAGAAGAAAAUCAAGCCCCAGAAAAGCCUCUCAGAACAUCGGCACCUGUUACUGGACCUACCUGAACACAGAAAUCAAGGGUAAAAUGCACACACCGGUGAGCCACUCUUUCUGCAGAUGCAAGUGAGCCAAUUAAUGAUUUACAGUGUUUUGAAGAAAAUUACUAUGAAGGCAUGUAUAAGAACCAGUCAACAUCCACAUCUUGUCACAUUUAGUUCUGGAUAUCAACAAAGCAUUGCUCAGGAACCAUCAGCAUCCAGAGUACAGAUAACAGCCGGAGAACAAAGAGCUCACACUCAAUUGAGGAUCCUUCAGGAAGUUGUGAGUGUUGACACAGUUAAGGGGCUGUUACGAGUACUUCUUUUGAAUGUGGAAAGCAGAGCAUUAAUAACAGCAAGAAGUUUCUUAUUUCUUUUGUCUGAGCUCCAGAGUUACAUAUGCUACAAGAACUUGUAG